GACGAACGCUGUCGGCGUGCUUAACACAUGCAAGUCGAACGGAAAGGCCCUGCUUUUGUGGGGUGCUCGAGUGGCGAACGGGUGAGUAACACGUGAGUAACCUGCCCUUGACUUUGGGAUAACUUCAGGAAACUGGGGCUAAUACCGGAUAGGAGCUCCUGCUGCAUGGUGGGGGUUGGAAAGUUUCGGCGGUUGGGGAUGGACUCGCGGCUUAUCAGCUUGUUGGUGGGGUAGUGGCUUACCAAGGCUUUGACGGGUAGCCGGCCUGAGAGGGUGACCGGCCACAUUGGGACUGAGAUACGGCCCAGACUCCUACGGGAGGCAGCAGUGGGGAAUAUUGCACAAUGGGCGGAAGCCUGAUGCAGCAACGCCGCGUGCGGGAUGACGGCCUUCGGGUUGUAAACCGCUUUCGCCUGUGACGAAGCGUGAGUGACGGUAAUGGGUAAAGAAGCACCGGCUAACUACGUGCCAGCAGCCGCGGUGAUACGUAGGGUGCGAGCGUUGUCCGGAUUUAUUGGGCGUAAAGGGCUCGUAGGUGGUUGAUCGCGUCGGAAGUGUAAUCUUGGGGCUUAACCCUGAGCGUGCUUUCGAUACGGGUUGACUUGAGGAAGGUAGGGGAGAAUGGAAUUCCUGGUGGAGCGGUGGAAUGCGCAGAUAUCAGGAGGAACACCAGUGGCGAAGGCGGUUCUCUGGGCCUUUCCUGACGCUGAGGAGCGAAAGCGUGGGGAGCGAACAGGCUUAGAUACCCUGGUAGUCCACGCUGUAAACGGUGGGUACUAGGUGUGGGGUCCAUUCCACGGGUUCCGUGCCGUAGCUAACGCUUUAAGUACCCCGCCUGGGGAGUACGGCCGCAAGGCUAAAACUCAAAGGAACUGACGGGGCCCCGCACAAGCGGCGGAGCAUGCGGAUUAAUUCGAUGCAACGCGUAGAACCUUACCUGGGUUUGACAUGGAUCGGGAGUGCUCAGAGAUGGGUGUGCCUCUUUUGGGGUCGGUUCACAGGUGGUGCAUGGCUGUCGUCAGCUCGUGUCGUGAGAUGUUGGGUUAAGUCCCGCAACGAGCGCAACCCUUGUUCACUGUUGCCAGCACGUUAUGGUGGGGACUCAGUGGAGACCGCCGGGGUCAACUCGGAGGAAGGUGGGGAUGACGUCAAGUCAUCAUGCCCCUUAUGUCCAGGGCUUCACGCAUGCUACAAUGGCUGGUACAGAGAGUGGCGAGCCUGUGAGGGUGAGCGAAUCUCGGAAAGCCGGUCUCAGUUCGGAUUGGGGUCUGCAACUCGACCUCAUGAAGUCGGAGUCGCUAGUAAUCGCAGAUCAGCAACGCUGCGGUGAAUACGUUCCCGGG
Molecule: ribosomal RNA, 1343 nt
Filed under: uncultured bacterium
Lineage: Bacteria
Description: 16S ribosomal RNA
Rfam family: Bacterial small subunit ribosomal RNA
Source: RNAcentral